CCUGGCUCAGGAUGAACGCUAGCGGCAGGCCUAACACAUGCAAGUCGUGGGGCAGCACGGGUAGCAAUACCUGGUGGCGACCGGCGCACGGGUGCGUAACGCGUAUGCAACCUGCCCCCAUCAGGGGAAUAGCCCGCCGAAAGGCGGAUUAAUGCCCCAUAGGCCCAGGGCGCCGCAUGGCGCUAUGGGUAAAGCUCCGGCGGAUGGGGAUGGGCAUGCGUGCCAUUAGCUAGUGGGCGGUAACGGCGCACCAAGGCGACGAUGGCUAGGGGGUCUGAGAGGAUGGUCCCCCACACUGGUACUGAGACACGGACCAGACUCCUACGGGAGGCAGCAGUGAGGAAUAUUGGUCAAUGGGCGGAAGCCUGAACCAGCCAUGCCGCGUGCAGGAUGACGGCCCUACGGGUUGUAAACUGCUUUUCCCCGGGAAGAAUAAGCCCCUCGUGGAGGGGUGAUGCCGGUACCGGGGGAAUAAGGAUCGGCUAACUCCGUGCCAGCAGCGGC
This 504-nucleotide ribosomal RNA is filed under the name uncultured bacterium. RNAcentral's name for it is "bacterial SSU rRNA". It matches the Rfam family "Bacterial small subunit ribosomal RNA", at positions 18 to 518 of the family's 1533-position model. The record is from RNAcentral.